RNAcentral lists this ribosomal RNA (1240 nucleotides) under 'Macropsis infuscata' phytoplasma. Its description in RNAcentral is "bacterial SSU rRNA". It matches the Rfam family "Bacterial small subunit ribosomal RNA", at positions 153 to 1388 of the family's 1533-position model. The record is from RNAcentral. Lineage: Bacteria; Bacillati; Mycoplasmatota; Mollicutes; Acholeplasmatales; Acholeplasmataceae.
GAAACAGUUGCUAAGACUGGAUAGGAAAUUAAGAGGCAUCUUUUAAUUUUUAAAAGACCUUUUUCGAAAGGUAUGCUUAAAGAGGGGCUUGCGCCACAUUAGUUAGUUGGUAAGGUAAAGGCUUACCAAGACGAUGAUGUGUAGCUGGACUGAGAGGUCGAACAGCCACAUUGGGACUGAGACACGGCCCAAACUCCUACGGGAGGCAGCAGUAAGGAAUUUUUGGCAAUGGAGGAAACUCUGACCGAGCGACGCCGCGUGAACAAUGAAGUACUUCGGUAUGUAAAGUUCUUUUAUUGAAAAAGAAAAAAUAGUGGAAAAACUAUCUUGACAUUAUUCAAUGAAUAAGCCCCGGCUAAUUAUGUGCCAGCAGCCGCGGUAAUACAUAAGGGGCGAGCGUUAUCCGGAAUUAUUGGGCGUAAAGGGUGCGUAGGCGGUUUGAUAAGUCUAUAGUUUAAAUGCAGUGCUUAACGCUGUAGCGCUAUAGAAACUGUCUGACUAGAGUUAGAUAGAGGCAAGCGGAAUUCCAUGUGUAGCGGUAAAAUGCGUAAAUAUAUGGAGGAACACCAGAGGCGUAGGCGGCUUGCUGGGUCUUAACUGACGCUGAGGCACGAAAGCGUGGGGAGCAAACAGGAUUAGAUACCCUGGUAGUCCACGCCGUAAACGAUGAGUACUAAGUGUCGGGUUUCGGCUCGGUACUGAAGUUAACACAUUAAGUACUCCGCCUGAGUAGUACGUACGCAAGUAUGAAACUUAAAGGAAUUGACGGGACCCCGCACAAGCGGUGGAUCAUGUUGUUUAAUUCGAAGAUACACGAAAAACCUUACCAGGUCUUGACAUAAUUUUGCGACAUUAUAGAAAUAUAAUGAAGGUUAUCAGAAUUACAGGGUGGUGCAUGGUUGUCGUCAGCUCGUGUCGUGAGAUGUUAGGUUAAGUCCUAAAACGAGCGCAACCCUUGUCGUUAGUUGCGACCACGUAAUGGUGAGCACUUUAGCGAGACUGCCAAUGAAAAAUUGGAGGAAGGUGAGGAUUACGUCAAAUCAUCAUGCCCCUUAUGAUCUGGGCUACAAACGUGAUACAAUGGCUGUUACAAAGAGUAGCUACAACGUGAGUUUUUAGCCAAUCUCAAAAAAACAGUCUCAGUUCGGAUUGAAGUCUGCAACUCGACUUCAUGAAGUUGGAAUCGCUAGUAAUCGCGAAUCAGCAUGUCGCGGUGAAUACGUUCUCGGGGUUUGUACAC